GAGUUUGAUCAUGGCUCAGAUUGAACGCUGGCGGCAUGCCUUACACAUGCAAGUCGAACGGCAGCACGGGAGCUUGCUCCUGGUGGCGAGUGGCGAACGGGUGAGUAAUGCAUCGGAACGUAUCCUGGAGUGGGGGAUAACGUAGCGAAGUUACGCUAAUACCGCAUAUUCUGUGAGCAGGAAAGCGGGGGACCUUCGGGCCUCGCGCUCUUGGAGCGGCCGAUGUCGGAUUAGCUAGUUGGUGAGGUAAAGGCUCACCAAGGCGACGAUCCGUAGCAGGUCUGAGAGGAUGAUCUGGCCACACUGGAACUGAGACACGGUCCAGACUCCUACGGAGGCAGGCAGUGGGGAAUUUUGGACAAUGGGGGCAACCCUGAUCCAGCCAUGCCGCGU
This 393-nucleotide ribosomal RNA is filed under the name bacterium enrichment culture clone ALO1_GLFRUDD03F6BMJ. Its description in RNAcentral is "bacterial SSU rRNA". It matches the Rfam family "Bacterial small subunit ribosomal RNA", at positions 9 to 402 of the family's 1533-position model. The record is from RNAcentral.